UGGGGAAUUUUCUGCAAUGGGCGAAAGCCUGACAGAGCAAUACCGCGUGAGGGAUGAAGGCCUGUGGGUCGUAAACCUCUUUUUUCAAGGAGGAAGUUCUGACGUGUACUUGAAGAAUAAGCAUCGGCUAACUCCGUGCCAGCAGCCGCGGUAAGACGGAGGAUGCAAGUGUUAUCCGGAAUUACUGGGCGUAAAGCGUCUGUAGGUGGUUUAGUAAGUCGAUUGUUAAAGCUUGAGGCUUAACUUCAAAACAGCAAUGGAAACUGCUAGACUUGAGUAUGGUAGAGGUAAAAGGAAUUUCCAGUGGAGCGGUGAAAUGCGUAGAUAUUGGAAAGAACACCGAUGGCGAA
RNAcentral lists this ribosomal RNA (350 nucleotides) under uncultured bacterium. RNAcentral's name for it is "bacterial SSU rRNA". It matches the Rfam family "Bacterial small subunit ribosomal RNA", at positions 355 to 719 of the family's 1533-position model. The record is from RNAcentral.